GGCUCAGGAUGAACGCUGGCGGCGUGCCUAAUACAUGCAAGUCGAACGCACAGCGAAAGGUGCUUGCACCUUUCAAGUGAGUGGCGAACGGGUGAGUAACACGUGGACAACCUGCCUCAAGGCUGGGGAUAACAUUUGGAAACAGAUGCUAAAUACCCGAAUAAAACUUAGUGUCGCAUGACACAAGUUAAAGGCGCUUCGGCGUCACCUAGAGAUGGAUCCGCGGUGCGUUAGUUAGUUGGUGGGGUAAAGGCCUACCAAGACAAUAAUGCAUAGCCGAGUUGAGAGACUGAUCGGCCACAUUGGGACUGAGACACGGCCCAAAACUCCUACGGGGAGGCUGCAGUAGGGAAUCUUCCACAAUGGGCGAAAGCCUGAUGGAGCAACGCCGCGUGUGUGAUGAAGGCUUUCGGGUCGUAAAGCACUGUUGUAUGGGAAGAACAGCUAGAAUAGGAAAUGAUUUUAGUUUGACGGUACCAUACCAGAAAGGGACGGCUAAAUACGUG
Molecule: ribosomal RNA, 506 nt
Filed under: uncultured bacterium
Lineage: Bacteria
Description: bacterial SSU rRNA
Rfam family: Bacterial small subunit ribosomal RNA
Source: RNAcentral